Molecule: long non-coding RNA, 834 nt
Filed under: Cricetulus griseus (Chinese hamster)
Lineage: Eukaryota; Metazoa; Chordata; Mammalia; Rodentia; Cricetidae
Description: lncRNA (ENSCGRG00015039645.1)
Source: RNAcentral
CUUCAACCCGCCCUCCCACUUCCUGCCCCGGGGCUGCCAGCGAAAGUUGAGGAGGGUGGGGCUGUAGCUCAGGCUCUGGGCGGGCGACUUUCCCUUAGGUGCACGCGCUGACCCAGGCCAGCGGUCUUUUCAGCAGAGUGUGAGGCCGCUGCACCUCGGUGGAGACUAGAAGGUGACCCAUGUAAUGCGGGGCACCCUUGCAUGGCCCUCUGCAAAGACAGAACCCAGGCACGCCUAUCCGGCUGGGCUACUCACUCACGCCCCUAUGGCUCCAUCAAUCUGGCUCGGCAUCGUAGUGUCAGCCCCUGCAUCUCCCUCAGUUUACCUGGCCUGGGGCAGGAUGAGAGGACCACCACCCCCCAUCUUGAUGCCUAUCCCUAGAGGUCAAGAGAGAAGCCAGAUGGAGCCAGGCUGAACAACAGCUGGUCCGCUACAGCAGCAUCCCUGAUGGACCCCAGUGUUAAUUCCGGCAUGUCUGAUCUGCCAGUCCGAGAACCCCAUUCAGAUUCUGAGCACUCCUGGCUCCACCAUCACCAAGGUUCUUCCCCCUUAGGCUCCUCAACAGCCUGCUUCUACCUUCCCCUUCAGUCUGCUCUUCACAGCCGGCAAAGACCUAGCCAAGCCUAGACACAGCCCUGUCACUCUACCACCCCAAAGCAAGCCAUUUGUGGAACUCAGCUCAUAGCAGGUAACUUAGGCCUUGGAUUCUUUGAAAGAACACUAUUUGGCAUGCAUAAGGCUCCAGGCUUCCUCCCUAGCCCUUAAAGCAGCAGUUCUCUACCUGUGGGUCAUAACCCCUUGGGUAGUCAAAAGACCCUUUCACAAGAGUCUCCU